This 658-nucleotide ribosomal RNA is filed under the name uncultured bacterium. RNAcentral describes it as "bacterial SSU rRNA". It matches the Rfam family "Bacterial small subunit ribosomal RNA", at positions 57 to 696 of the family's 1533-position model. The record is from RNAcentral.
GCAGUCGACGCGAAAGCCCCGCAAGGGGUUAGUAGAGUGGCAAACGGGUGAGUAACACGUGGGUGACCUGCCUCAGAGUGGGGGAUAACGACCCGAAAGGGUCGCUAAUACCGCAUAACAUCCUGCUUUUGGAUAAGUGGAGAUCAAAGCCGGGGAUCGCAAGACCUGGCGCUCAGAGAGGGGCCCGCGGCCGAUUAGCUAGUUGGUGAGGUAAUGGCUCACCAAGGCAACGAUCGGUAUCCGGCCUGAGAGGGCGGACGGACACACUGGGACUGAGACACGGCCCAGACUCCUACGGGAGGCAGCAGUGGGGAAUUGUUCGCAAUGGGCGCAAGCCUGACGACGCAACGCCGCGUGGAGGACGAAGAUCUUCGGGUCGUAAACUCCUUUCGAUCGGGAAGAACGUUUCCGGGGUGAAUAAUCCCGGAAAGUGACGGUACCGAGAGAAGAAGCCCCGGCUAACUCCGUGCCAGCAGCCGCGGUAAUACGGGGGGGGCAAGCGUUGUUCGGAAUUACUGGGCGUAAAGGGCUUGUAGGCGGCCAACUAAGUCCGACGUGAAAUCCCCAGGCUUAACCUGGGAACUGCGUCGGAUACUGGAUGGCUUGAAUUCGGGAGAGGGAUGCAGAAUUCCAGGUGUAGCGGUGAAAUGCGUAGAUA